UACGGGGGGGGCAAGCGUUGUUCGGAAUUACUGGGCGUAAAGGGCUCGUAGGCGGCCAACUAAGUCAGACGUGAAAUCCCUCGGCUUAACCGGGGAACUGCGUCUGAUACUGGAUGGCUUGAGUUUGGGAGAGGGAUGCGGAAUUCCAGGUGUAGCGGUGAAAUGCGCAGAUAUCAGGAGGAACACCGGUGGCGAAGGCGGGUCUCUGGGCAACAACUGACGCUGAGGAGCGAAAGCGUGGGGAGCGAACAGG
RNAcentral lists this ribosomal RNA (253 nucleotides) under uncultured bacterium. Its description in RNAcentral is "partial 16S ribosomal RNA". It matches the Rfam family "Bacterial small subunit ribosomal RNA", at positions 524 to 776 of the family's 1533-position model. The record is from RNAcentral.